This 440-nucleotide ribosomal RNA is filed under the name uncultured bacterium. RNAcentral's name for it is "partial 16S ribosomal RNA". It matches the Rfam family "Bacterial small subunit ribosomal RNA", at positions 338 to 795 of the family's 1533-position model. The record is from RNAcentral.
CCUACGGGAGGCAGCAGUGGGGGAUAUUGCACAAUGGGGGAAACCCUGAUGCAGCGACGCCGCGUGGGUGAAGAAGCGCCUCGGCGCGUAAAGCCCUGUCAGCAGGGAAGAAAAUGACGGUACCUGAAGAAGAAGCCCCGGCUAACUACGUGCCAGCAGCCGCGGUAAUACGUAGGGGGCAAGCGUUAUCCGGAUUUACUGGGUGUAAAGGGGGCGCAGACGGCGAUGCAAGCCAGGCGUGAAAUCCCGGGGCCCAACCCCGGGACUGCUCUUGGAACUGCGUGGCUAGAGUGCAGGAGGGGCAGGCGGAAUUACUGGAGUAGCGGUGAAAUGCGUAGAUAUCAGGAGGAACACCGGUGGCGAAGGCGGCCUGCUGGACUGCAACUGACGUUGAGGCCCGAAAGCGUGGGGAGCAAACAGGAUUAGAUACCCCGGUAGUC